UGUGAGCUCGAUGAGUAGGGCGGGACACGUGGUAUCCUGUCUGAAUAUGGGGGGACCAUCCUCCAAGGCUAAAUACUCCUGACUGACCGAUAGUGAACCAGUACCGUGAGGGAAAGGCGAAAAGAACCCCGGCGAGGGGAGUGAAAAAGAACCUGAAACCGUGUACGUACAAGCAGUGGGAGCCUCUUUUAUGGGGUGACUGCGUACCUUUUGUAUAAUGGGUCAGCGACUUAUAUUCUGUAGCAAGGUUAACCGAAUAGGGGAGCCGAAGGGAAACCGAGUCUUAACUGGGCGUUAAGUUGCAGGGUAUAGACCCGAAACCCGGUGAUCUAGCCAUGGGCAGGUUGAAGGUUGGGUAACACUAACUGGAGGACCGAACCGACUAAUGUUGAAAAAUUAGCGGAUGACUUGUGGCUGGGGGUGAAAGGCCAAUCAAACCGGGAGAUAGCUGGUUCUCCCCGAAAGCUAUUUAGGUAGCGCCUCGUGAAUUCAUCUCCGGGGGUAGAGCACUGUUUCGGCAAGGGGGUCAUCCCGACUUACCAACCCGAUGCAAACUGCGAAUACCGGAGAAUGUUAUCACGGGAGACACACGGCGGGUGCUAACGUCCGUCGUGAAGAGGGAAACAACCCAGACCGCCAGCUAAGGUCCCAAAGUCAUGGUUAAGUGGGAAACGAUGUGGGAAGGCCCAGACAGCCAGGAUGUUGGCUUAGAAGCAGCCAUCAUUUAAAGAAAGCGUAAUAGCUCACUGGUCGAGUCGGCCUGCGCGGAAGAUGUAACGGGGCUAAACCAUGCACCGAAGCUGCGGCAGCGACACUAUGUGUUGUUGGGUAGGGGAGCGUUCUGUAAGCCUGUGAAGGUGUACUGUGAGGUAUGCUGGAGGUAUCAGAAGUGCGAAUGCUGACAUAAGUAACGAUAAAGCGGGUGAAAAGCCCGCUCGCCGGAAGACCAAGGGUUCCUGUCCAACGUUAAUCGGGGCAGGGUGAGUCGACCCCUAAGGCGAGGCCGAAAGGCGUAGUCGAUGGGAAACAGGUUAAUAUUCCUGUACUUGGUGUUACUGCGAAGGGGGGACGGAGAAGGCUAUGUUGGCCGGGCGACGGUUGUCCCGGUUUAAGCGUGUAGGCUGGUUUUCCAGGCAAAUCCGGAAAAUCAAGGCUGAGGCGUGAUGACGAGGCACUACGGUGCUGAAGCAACAAAUGCCCUGCUUCCAGGAAAAGCCUCUAAGCAUCAGGUAACAUUAAAUCGUACCCCAAACCGACACAGGUGGUCAGGUAGAGAAUACCAAGGCGCUUGAGAGAACUCGGGUGAAGGAACUAGGCAAAAUGGUGCCGUAACUUCGGGAGAAGGCACGCUGAUAUGUAGGUGAAGUCCCUCGCGGAUGGAGCUGAAAUCAGUCGAAGAUACCAGCUGGCUGCAACUGUUUAUUAAAAACACAGCACUGUGCAAACACGAAAGUGGACGUAUACGGUGUGACGCCUGCCCGGUGCCGGAAGGUUAAUUGAUGGGGUCAGCGCAAGCGAAGCUCUUGAUCGAAGCCCCGGUAAACGGCGGCCGUAACUAUAACGGUCCUAAGGUAGCGAAAUUCCUUGUCGGGUAAGUUCCGACCUGCACGAAUGGCGUAAUGAUGGCCAGGCUGUCUCCACCCGAGACUCAGUGAAAUUGAACUCGCUGUGAAGAUGCAGUGUACCCGCGGCAAGACGGAAAGACCCCGUGAACCUUUACUAUAGCUUGACACUGAACAUUGAGCCUUGAUGUGUAGGAUAGGUGGGAGGCUUGGAAGUGUGGACGCCAGUCUGCAUGGAGCCGACCUUGAAAUACCACCCUUUAAUGUUUGAUGUUCUAACGUGGACCCGUGAUCCGGGUUGCGGACAGUGUCUGGUGGGUAGUUUGACUGGGGCGGUCUCCUCCUAAAGAGUAACGGAGGAGCACGAAGGUUGGCUAAUCCUGGUCGGACAUCAGGAGGUUAGUGCAAUGGCAUAAGCCAGCUUGACUGCGAGCGUGACGGCGCGAGCAGGUGCGAAAGCAGGUCAUAGUGAUCCGGUGGUUCUGAAUGGAAGGGCCAUCGCUCAACGGAUAAAAGGUACUCCGGGGAUAACAGGCUGAUACCGCCCAAGAGUUCAUAUCGACGGCGGUGUUUGGCACCUCGAUGUCGGCUCAUCACAUCCUGGGGCUGAAGUAGGUCCCAAGGGUAUGGCUGUUCGCCAUUUAAAGUGGUACGCGAGCUGGGUUUAGAACGUCGUGAGACAGUUCGGUCCCUAUCUGCCGUGGGCGCUGGAGAACUGAGGGGGGCUGCUCCUAGUACGAGAGGACCGGAGUGGACGCAUCACUGGUGUUCGGGUUGUCAUGCCAAUGGCACUGCCCGGUAGCUAAAUGCGGAAGAGAUAAGUGCUGAAAGCAUCUAAGCACGAAACUUGCCCCGAGAUGAGUUCUCCCUGACCCUUUAAGGGUCCUGAAGGAACGUUGAAGACGACGACGUUGAUAGGCCGGGUGUGUAAGCGCAGCGAUGCGUUGAGCUAACCGGUACUAAUGAACCGUGAGGCUUAACCUU
This 2546-nucleotide ribosomal RNA is filed under the name Escherichia coli. RNAcentral describes it as "partial 23S ribosomal RNA". It matches the Rfam family "Bacterial large subunit ribosomal RNA", at positions 398 to 2925 of the family's 2925-position model. The record is from RNAcentral. Lineage: Bacteria; Pseudomonadati; Pseudomonadota; Gammaproteobacteria; Enterobacterales; Enterobacteriaceae.